CCACUAGGUGAUCAAAAGUACGUCCCGUACUCCAAAAAUAUACAUGAGCAUCACUCAUGUCAAUCAUACAUAAACAUUCAUGAGCAUCACUCAUGUCAAUCAUACAUAAACAUUCAUGACCAUCAUUCAUGUCAACAUUCAUGUCAACAUUCAUGAGCAUCACUCAUGUCAACAUCCAUGACCAUCACUCAUGUCAAUCAACAUAAACAUUCAUGAGCACCACUCAUGUCAAUCAGCUUCAAAAGCUUCAUUUACAAAGCUCCAGCU
RNAcentral lists this long non-coding RNA (267 nucleotides) under Malus domestica (apple). RNAcentral's name for it is "long non-coding RNA (MDOM_LNC014216)". The record is from RNAcentral. Lineage: Eukaryota; Viridiplantae; Streptophyta; Magnoliopsida; Rosales; Rosaceae.